CAUACAAAUAACCACCAGUUCCUUAAGGGCGCCCGUCAUUUAUUGUCAUCGACUUUUUCUAUGCUUAUUCACUUAGGUUACGUCCUUUAGAACUUCCUCGGCAGCCGAAAACAUCAACGAUUUUGCUGAUGGAGUGUUUUUAAACGAAGUUAUGGUCGAAAUAGAUCCGACCUACUUCACGCUUACAAGAGUACACCAAAAUGUCGACGGUGAUGUCAAUGUUCGAAUACAAAAUCUAGAUUUUCUGGUCCGUCACCUGAAAGAGUUUUACCAGG
This is a long non-coding RNA of Exaiptasia diaphana, 275 nucleotides long. RefSeq lists it as uncharacterized. The transcript has 2 exons. Lineage: Eukaryota; Metazoa; Cnidaria; Anthozoa; Actiniaria; Aiptasiidae. The record is from RefSeq and is a predicted model, not a curated record.